RNAcentral lists this ribosomal RNA (253 nucleotides) under uncultured bacterium. RNAcentral describes it as "partial 16S ribosomal RNA". It matches the Rfam family "Bacterial small subunit ribosomal RNA", at positions 524 to 776 of the family's 1533-position model. The record is from RNAcentral.
UACGGAGGGUGCAAGCGUUAUCCGGAUUCACUGGGUUUAAAGGGUGCGUAGGCGGGCAGGUAAGUCAGAGGUGAAAUCUCCGAGCUUAACUCGGAAACUGCCUUUGAUACUAUCUGUCUUGAAUAUGGUGGAGGUAAGCGGAAUAUGUCAUGUAGCGGUGAAAUGCUUAGAGAUGACAUAGAACACCCAUUGCGAAGGCAGCUUACUACGCCUAUAUUGACGCUGAGGCACGAAGGCGUGGGGAUCAAACAGG